This 82-nucleotide transfer RNA is filed under the name Emiliania huxleyi. RNAcentral describes it as "tRNA-Leu". It matches the Rfam family "tRNA". Rfam says of the family: Transfer RNA (tRNA) molecules are approximately 80 nucleotides in length. Their secondary structure includes four short double-helical elements and three loops (D, anti-codon, and T loops). Further hydrogen bonds mediate the characteristic L-shaped molecular structure. tRNAs have two regions of fundamental functional importance: the anti-codon, which is responsible for specific mRNA codon recognition, and the 3' end, to which the tRNAs corresponding amino acid is attached (by aminoacyl-tRNA synthetases). tRNAs cope with the degeneracy of the genetic code in two manners: having more than one tRNA (with a specific anti-codon) for a particular amino acid; and 'wobble' base-pairing, i.e. permitting non-standard base-pairing at the 3rd anti-codon position. RNAcentral also lists the same sequence under 1 other name. The record is from RNAcentral. Lineage: Eukaryota; Haptophyta; Isochrysidales; Noelaerhabdaceae.
GCGGGAGUGGCGGAAUUGGUAGACGCGCUGGAUUUAGGUUCCAGUGCCGCAAGGCGUGAGAGUUCGAGUCUCUCCUUCCGCA